Molecule: ribosomal RNA, 253 nt
Filed under: uncultured Oscillospira sp.
Lineage: Bacteria; Bacillati; Bacillota; Clostridia; Eubacteriales; Oscillospiraceae
Description: partial 16S ribosomal RNA
Rfam family: Bacterial small subunit ribosomal RNA
Source: RNAcentral
UACGUAGGUGGCAAGCGUUGUCCGGAUUUACUGGGUGUAAAGGGCGUGCAGCCGGAGAGACAAGUCAGAUGUGAAAUCCACGGGCUCAACCCGUGAACUGCAUUUGAAACUGUUUCCCUUGAGUGUCGGAGUGGUAAUCGGAAUUCCUUGUGUAGCGGUGAAAUGCGUAGAUAUGUGGAAGAACACCGAUGGCGAAGGCAGCCUCCUGGGACGCAACUGACGCUCAUACACGAAAGCGUGGGGAGCAAACAGG